AUUGAACGCUAGCGGGAUGCUUUACACAUGCAAGUCGAACGGCAGCGCGGACUUCGGUCUGGCGGCGAGUGGCGAACGGGUGAGUAAUGUAUCGGAACGUGCCCAGUAGCGGGGGAUAACUACGCGAAAGCGUAGCUAAUACCGCAUACGCCCUACGGGGGAAAGCAGGGGAUCGUAAGACCUUGCACUAUUGGAGCGGCCGAUAGCCGAUUAGCUAGUUGGUGAGGUAACGGCUCACCAAGGCGACGAUCCGUAGCUGGUUUGAGAGGACGACCAGCCACACUGGGACUGAGACACGGCCCAGACUCCUACGGGAGGCAGCAGUGGGGAAUUUUGGACAAUGGGGGCAACCCUGAUCCAGCCAUCCCGCGUGUGCGAUGAAGGCCUUCGGGUUGUAAAGCACUUUUGGCAGGAAAGAAACGUCGCGGGCUAAUACCCCGUGGAACUGACGGUACCUGCAGAAUAAGCACCGGCUAACUACGUG
RNAcentral lists this ribosomal RNA (484 nucleotides) under uncultured bacterium. RNAcentral describes it as "partial 16S ribosomal RNA". It matches the Rfam family "Bacterial small subunit ribosomal RNA", at positions 30 to 507 of the family's 1533-position model. The record is from RNAcentral.